UACGUAGGUCCCGAGCGUUGUCCGGAUUUAUUGGGCGUAAAGCGAGCGCAGGUGGUUUAUUAAGUCCGGUGUAAAAGGCAGUGGCUCAACCAUUGUAUGCAUUGGAAACUGGUAGACUUGAGUGCAGGAGAGGAGAGUGGAAUUCCAUGUGUAGCGGUGAAAUGCGUAGAUAUAUGGAGGAACACCGGUGGCGAAAGCGGCUCUCUGGCCUGUAACUGACACUAAGGCUCGAAAGCGUGGGGAGCAAACAGG
RNAcentral lists this ribosomal RNA (252 nucleotides) under uncultured bacterium. Its description in RNAcentral is "partial 16S ribosomal RNA". It matches the Rfam family "Bacterial small subunit ribosomal RNA", at positions 524 to 776 of the family's 1533-position model. The record is from RNAcentral.